RNAcentral lists this transfer RNA (72 nucleotides) under Pangasianodon hypophthalmus (striped catfish). It matches the Rfam family "tRNA". Rfam says of the family: Transfer RNA (tRNA) molecules are approximately 80 nucleotides in length. Their secondary structure includes four short double-helical elements and three loops (D, anti-codon, and T loops). Lineage: Eukaryota; Metazoa; Chordata; Actinopteri; Siluriformes; Pangasiidae. The record is from Rfam by way of RNAcentral.
UCCCUGGAGGAAUAGUGGUUAGCCCACAGCGCUCUCACUGCUGCAGCCCGGGUUCGAUUCCCGGCCAGAGAC